UUGGAGGGCAAGUCUGGUGCCCGCAGCCGCGGUAAUUCCAGCUCCAAUAGCGUAUAUUAAAGUUGUUGCAGUUAAAAAGCUCGUAGUUGAACUUCGGGGUUUACCCAUUGGUCAGGCUUAAUUGUCUGUACUGGUGAGAUGAAUCUCUACCUUCUGAGGAACUUUCAUGCCAUUUAGUUGGUGUGAUGGGAAAUCAGGACUGUUACUUUGAAAAAAUUAGAGUGUUUAAAGCAGGCUAACGUCUGAAUACAUUAGCAUGGAAUAAUAAAAUAGGACGGUGGUCCUGUUUUGUUGGUUUCUGAAUCACCGUAAUGAUUAAUAGGGAUAGUUGGGGGCAUUAGUAUUCAAUUGUCAGAGGUGAAAUUCUUGGAUUUAUUGAAGACUAACUUCUGCGAAAGCAUUUGCCAAGGAUGUUUUCAUUAAUCAAGAACGAAAGUUAGGGGAUCGAAGACGAUCAGAUACCGUCGUAGUCUUAACCAUAAACUAUGCCGACUAGGGAUCGGACGAUGUUAAAUUUUAUUGACUCGUUCGGCGCCUUACGGGAAAC
This 547-nucleotide ribosomal RNA is filed under the name uncultured Diversispora. Its description in RNAcentral is "SSU rRNA". It matches the Rfam family "Eukaryotic small subunit ribosomal RNA", at positions 548 to 1098 of the family's 1831-position model. Lineage: Eukaryota; Fungi; Glomeromycota; Glomeromycetes; Diversisporales; Diversisporaceae. The record is from RNAcentral.